Molecule: transfer RNA, 68 nt
Filed under: Crataraea suturalis
Lineage: Eukaryota; Metazoa; Arthropoda; Insecta; Coleoptera; Staphylinidae
Description: tRNA-Ser
Source: RNAcentral
GAAAUAAGAAACCCAAAAAUAAGCUUCUAACUUAAUUUUUUUAGCGAUGAAACUUCGUUAUUAUUUCU